This is a long non-coding RNA of Drosophila innubila, 682 nucleotides long. RefSeq lists it as uncharacterized. The transcript has 2 exons. Lineage: Eukaryota; Metazoa; Arthropoda; Insecta; Diptera; Drosophilidae. The record is from RefSeq and is a predicted model, not a curated record.
CAUCCGCACAAAUACUUUGCCAUAUUUUUUGCUCAAUUGUUUGCCAUUGAUCCUUGUUGCGCCCAUUCUUCCGUACGGCAACCCUCUCUUGCCAUCAAACCGCCCGCUCAAUUGAUGAUGCGUGCGUCUUGUUUGCUGCAUAAAACUUGCUCAAUGCUUACACGCCCUUAAAGGCAACAGCAUCAGCAGCAAAUAUAACAACAACAACGACAACAUAGAGAGUUAUAACAACAACAACAACAACAACAACGGGCACAACGAGAUUCCCUCAGGCUGGUUUUAUUACAAAGGCCGUAAAAAGCACCCAAAGAAAAAGAAAAAAAACAAAAACCAAAAAAUAAGAAAGCAGAAACAAAAAGCGGAGUAAAUGCCACUGAAAGGAUACAACGCGACUUCCUGUGAGCACGGAUGCACAUACAUUUUGAAGCACUGUGGUAACAUGGCAAAAGGAUUUGAAAUUAAACUUUAAGCAGCAUUAGAAUGAGAAUAAUGUUGAAAGCAGCUCAAAAUGUGCAACACGUGUGCGUUUUGUUUUAAAUAUUUAUAAACAAAUAUCACACACACAUGCAUACUCCACAGACGAGAACUGAUGAGUGUGUGUGGAAGAAACGCGCCACUAAAGUUUCUCGGUCUCCUCGUCAAAUUCUAUUAAAAAUUCAUCUUAACGGUUAUGCGUUUGACA